AGCUUUGUUAUGGCUUGUUUUGUUAAUCUCGAAAGCUGUUUGGUUCGUUGUUUAAGUUUGCUUACUUAAGAGUUCUCUUGAGUUUGUUUAGGAUUUUAGUGCUUUUGUGAGUCUAGCGUGCGGAUCAUAAUAUUCUUACCAAAUUGGUUUAAUUUUCAGUUGUAAUUAGGAUGAUCAGUAUCGAAAAUAUAUAGUUGACUUUAGUUUCGCUAUUCGAUUAUGUAUUUGUGGUCCUAAUUUUCCUCUAAGGCUCUGUUUGGAUUGGGGGGGUGAGUGAAGGGUAAUUAAUGGAAGUAUCAGGGAGUGUAAGAAAGGGG
This 317-nucleotide unclassified non-coding RNA is filed under the name Hevea brasiliensis (rubber tree). The record is from RNAcentral. Lineage: Eukaryota; Viridiplantae; Streptophyta; Magnoliopsida; Malpighiales; Euphorbiaceae.